GAUGAACGCUGGCGGCGUGCCUAAUACAUGCAAGUCGAACGAAACUUCUUUAUCACCGAGUGCUUGCACUCACCGAUAAAGAGUUGAGUGGCGAACGGGUGAGUAACACGUGGGCAGCCUGCCCAAAAGAGGGGGAUAACACUUGGAAACAGGUGCUAAUACCGCAUAACCAUAGUUACCGCAUGGUAACUAUGUAAAAGGUGGCUAUACUACCGCUUUUGGAUGGGCCCGCGGCGCAUUAGCUAGUUGGUAGGGUAAAGGCUUACCAAGGCAAUGAUGCGUAGCCGAAUUGAGAGGUUGAUCGGCCACAUUGGGACUGAGACACGGCCCAAACUCCUACGGGAGGCAGCAGUAGGGAAUCUUCCACAAUGGGCGAAAGCCUGAUGGAGCAACGCCGCGUGGGUGAAGAAGGUCUUCGGAUCGUAAAACCCUGUUGUUAGAGAAGAAAGUGCGUGAGAGUAACUGUUCACGUUUCGACGGUAUCUAACCAGAAAGCCGCGGCUAACUACGUG
Molecule: ribosomal RNA, 512 nt
Filed under: uncultured bacterium
Lineage: Bacteria
Description: partial 16S ribosomal RNA
Rfam family: Bacterial small subunit ribosomal RNA
Source: RNAcentral